RNAcentral lists this ribosomal RNA (253 nucleotides) under uncultured bacterium. Its description in RNAcentral is "partial 16S ribosomal RNA". It matches the Rfam family "Bacterial small subunit ribosomal RNA", at positions 524 to 776 of the family's 1533-position model. The record is from RNAcentral.
UACGUAGGUGGCAAGCGUUGUCCGGAUUUACUGGGCGUAAAGAGCGCGCAGGCGGCCAAGUCAGUCGAAUGUGAAAGCCCCCGGCUCAACUGGGGAGGGUCAUUCGAUACUGCUCGGCUCGAAGACAGGAGAGGGAAGUGGAAUUCCCGGUGUAGUGGUGAAAUGCGUUGAUAUCGGAAGGAACGCCGGUGGCGAAAGCGACGUGCUGGACCUCUUCUGACGCUGAGGCGCGAAAGCUAGGGGAGCGAACGGG